RNAcentral lists this long non-coding RNA (2501 nucleotides) under Nicotiana benthamiana. Its description in RNAcentral is "long non-coding RNA (NBEN_LNC027743)". The record is from RNAcentral. Lineage: Eukaryota; Viridiplantae; Streptophyta; Magnoliopsida; Solanales; Solanaceae.
CUCAGUUAGUUCCCUCACUCAAACCCUAAUUCAACCUAGCCGCCCCAAAUUCCCAAACCCCCACGGCUGGCGGCGCUACCCAAUCGACUUCAAGUUUAUACCACACGAUCACCACCCACCCAUGUUUCCUAAUCUCCCACCAUAAUUCCCAAAAUCCCCAUAUAAUGCUCUUAGAGUCGGAUCUAACGAAAAAAAAGAAAAGAUCGAGUUUUUUUCUCUUUUAACCGUUCUUGUGUUGGCUCGAGAUCCAUGCUAGUCGAUUGUUCAUGGCAAGAAAAACCGAUUAGCAUUCAUUUCAGGUCAUCUUAGAGUUACUCGAACCGUUUUUUUUUCGGUCACUGCUUGUUAAAGCUUUCUUCCACAUUUGUUUAGGUAAUAACCAAUACCUCUUCCUAUUUUCCCUAUUUUUCAUGCUUUAGCAUAUCUAGGUUUUGACUUUUUUUGCUUUGCAUGAUUUAAGUUUUAAAUUGUUUUGUUAAUUUUGUUAUUGUUUGAAUCGCCAUCUCAGUAGCUUAACAAUUAGCUUAAUUGCAUUUGUUAAUAAAUUAUUGUCUUUUGAUUAUUUCUUUUAAAGUUCAUUUUUCGUUUAAUUUCAGAGAAUGUUUUCUUAAGUUUUCGACUGAAUUCAUUACUUAGUAUGGUUGGGGAUUCAGUUUGGUCUUGUUAAUACAGAAGAUCAAGGGUAGGUUGGAGCAUGUUUGACAAUAUAACCCAAUUGCUGGUAUUUCUCUGAAAGUUAAAUAACAGAAAGUCAAAGGGUAUUUAGGGGACUUGAUCUUUAGGAAGGCUGUAAGAAAGUGGGAAAAGAGCCUGAUUUACUAAAUAUAUUUAAAGUUUUUGGUAUGAAAGGACAAAAUGGAAAUUGGGGAUGAGUAAUAGUAAAGGAAAAAAAUCAAUCUCUGCUGACCUAAUACCCCUCUAUAAGAGUCUCAUUUCCCUGAAUUCAGUAGAAAGGAAGAACACCUAAAAAUAGAAAACUACUAUAGUUUGGAGCUGGAUUUCUUUCUUUGGGAAAAGUUUGGAAGUGGUCUUUCUGGUUUUCUAAGCUGAACUAUGGCUGAGUUUUGAGGCUGUUUAAGUUGAUUUUCUUUGUUAUUUCCUUGCUACCCUAAGCUGAUUUUCAAAUUCAUUUUUGGUUUAUUUCACUGUAACACGUAUGUAUUGCUGAACAUUUUAUUGGCUAUUCAAUCAUAUACAUGAAGCAUUGGAUGAAAUGUGGAUUGAUAUAUUGAUUCUGAUUUUAUUUUUGUCUUGUUAUUCUGUCUUUCUUUCUUUUUGUACAACUUCUUUUCAGCAUGUUAGAGUUUAUCUUUAAAAUGUAGGUACUAUUUACCUUAUGUUGUGUAUGGUUUCAUUCUGUGAAGACUUUUUGAGGUUUAAAUUAAUUGCAUGGAUCCUUUCCAAGUAACGCAUUAUAGCAUGUUAUUCUGGGAAGUUAUUGGCGUAUGUGAGUUUUAUUUUAUAGGAUUUGAUUUGAAGCUCUUAUUUGCUUUGACAUCUUGUUAGUUAUGAGAUUUUGAUUAGCUUACUGUACUUCAGCUGUGAUUGUAUCGAAUUAGUAAUACUCAAAUAGUUAAUGAUUCAAGUUUAUAUUAUUUCCAUGUGAUUAAUGUAUGAGUGAUACUGGGAGAGUUAUGAAAUUAGUCAUAUGUUUACUUUCGCCAUGUUUCAAUCUAUUUAAGACAUGUUCGUUGAUUCAUUGCCUUCUGGGGCUGUUACUGUAAAUUUGGUUAUUUGUUAAAUUAGAUGAUUAAAAGUGACAUUUCAUUGUCAUGAGACUAAGGAACAUGUAAAUAUUUUAUAGACAUCAGCUAUGGAAAUCAAUGAAGGUCUCCUCUAUUAUGGGCCUGUAGAAACAUAUUUAGGCCCAAUCCGAGUUGAGUGUGGUAGCCUGGACCAAGAAAGGCUUGGGAAGUGCCAUAUUUGUUUUCUGUUAUUUUUUUGGGGCCUGAUUGUGAGCUCAUCGGUUUCAGUGUUGUUUUUUUUUCAAUAGCGUGACAUGCCUCUUAUUUGGGCCCAGUGGUUCAGGAGGUUAUAAGCAUGUACCAAUUUUUAAACAUUUUGGUUGUAACCCACAUCAUGUCAUUAAUCUAGGAAUUACCAGGAGGAAUGCACGAGAUUUAGUUUGCUUUAGGCACAUAAUUAAAUAUCACGACUACGGGUAUAGUCUCAUGGCGUGAUUGUAAUACUUAAUCUCAAGUUAGUUUAAAAUAUGAAUAUUCGUAGUUCAUGUAGUUGAAUACUUUCCCGUUAAUAAAAAUGAGGCGUGCCAUUCAUAAAAGUGACUUCCACAAUCUAUCGCCUUCAUAUUAAUUAUCUUAACUCGUGUAGAAAAUUCCUUGAACUUUUAUAGUUUGCAUUAGGCGCAUUAAUUAAAUAAAUUUUAAUAGAUACGGGUACAGUUCCCGUAACGUAGUUGAGAUGCAUAAUUUCUAAAAUGCAGGUGUACAUUUCAUGUGACCCGAUUUUAAUUCUUAACAAGGUUAAAUAGAACGUGUCGU